AAUGUAUGGCGCCGUUGACUUUUUAUUCAACGUUUGACCAUUCGUCUUAUUUAAAAAAUUUAUGAAAUUAUCAUUUAUAUUAUUGUGACUUGAUUCAUCAUCGAAUGUUCUUUAAGAAGGACAUAAAUAUUUUCAUAUUUGCAUAAAAAUUUUGAAUAAAACGAAUGGUCAAACGUUGGUCGAAAAGUCAACGGCGUCAUACAUU
Oryza sativa Indica Group (long-grained rice) is the source of this 205-nucleotide microRNA precursor. It matches the Rfam family "MIR812 microRNA precursor family". The record is from Rfam. Lineage: Eukaryota; Viridiplantae; Streptophyta; Magnoliopsida; Poales; Poaceae.